GAUGAACGCUGGCUACAGGCUUAACACAUGCAAGUCGAGGGGAAACGACGGGGAAGCUUGCUUCCCCGGGCGUCGACCGGCGCACGGGUGCGUAACGCGUAUCCAACCUGCCUCUGACUGAGGGAUAACCCGUCGAAAGUCGGCCUAAUACCUCAUGGUAUCGUCUGCGGGCAUCCAACGACGAUUAAAGAUUUCAUCGGUCAGGGAUGGGGAUGCGUCUGAUUAGCUUGUUGGCGGGGUAACGGCCCACCAAGGCUACGAUCAGUAGGGGUUCUGAGAGGAAGGUCCCCCACAUUGGAACUGAGACACGGUCCAAACGCCUACGGGAGGCAGCAGUGAGGAAUAUUGGUCAAUGGGCGAGAGCCUGAACCAGCCAAGUAGCGUGCAGGAAGACGGCCCUAUGGGUUGUAAACUGCUUUUAUGCGGGGAUAAAGUGAGGGACGUGUCCCUCAUUGCAGGUACCGCAUGAAUAAGGACCGGCUAAUUCCGUG
Molecule: ribosomal RNA, 491 nt
Filed under: uncultured bacterium
Lineage: Bacteria
Description: partial 16S ribosomal RNA
Rfam family: Bacterial small subunit ribosomal RNA
Source: RNAcentral